CCUACGGGUGGCAGCAGUGAGGAAUAUUGGUCAAUGGGAGAGAUCCUGAACCAGCCAAGCCGCGUGAGGGAAGACGGCCCUAUGGGUUGUAAACCUCUUUUGUCGGAGAACAAAACCCGGGACGAGUCCCGGACUGCGUGUAUCCUAAGAAAAAGGAUCGGCUAACUCCGUGCCAGCAGCCGCGGUAAUACGGAGGAUGCGAGCGUUAUCCGGAUUUAUUUGGGUUAAAGGGUGCGUUGGCGGGUUGUUAAGUCAGCGGGGAAAUUUGGGGGCCUAACCCCGUCGGAGCGUUGGAAACUGGCAGACUUGAGUUGGCGAGAGGUACGCGGAAUGCGCGGUGUAGCGGUGAAAUGCAUAGAUAUCGCGAAGAACUCCGAGUGCGAAGGCAGCGUACCGGCGCCAGACUGACGCUGAGGCACGAAAGCGUGGGGAUCGAACAGGAUUAGAUACCCGUGUAGUC
RNAcentral lists this ribosomal RNA (460 nucleotides) under uncultured bacterium. RNAcentral describes it as "partial 16S ribosomal RNA". It matches the Rfam family "Bacterial small subunit ribosomal RNA", at positions 338 to 795 of the family's 1533-position model. The record is from RNAcentral.